Molecule: ribosomal RNA, 421 nt
Filed under: uncultured bacterium
Lineage: Bacteria
Description: bacterial SSU rRNA
Rfam family: Bacterial small subunit ribosomal RNA
Source: RNAcentral
UGCCAGCAGCCGCGGUAAUACGGAGGAUCCAAGCGUUAUCCGGAUUCACUGGGUUUAAAGGGUGCGUAGGUGGAAUGACAAGUCAGUGGUGAAAACCUGCAGCUUAACUGUAGAACUGCCAUUGAUACUGUUAUUCUUGAGUACAUUUGAUGUGAGUGGAAUGUGUCGUGUAGCGGUGAAAUGCUUAGAUAUGACACAGAACACCAAUUGCGAAGGCAGCUCACAAAACUGUAACUGACACUGAGGCACGAAAGCGUGGGGAUCAAACAGGAUUAGAUACCCUGGUAGUCCACGCCGUAAACGUUGAUUACUAGAUGUAUGCCCGUUAGGGCAUGUGUCAAAGCGAAAGCGUUAAGUAAUCCACCUGGGGAGUACGAUCGCAAGAUUGAAACUCAAAGGAAUUGACGGGGGCCCGCACAAG